This 253-nucleotide ribosomal RNA is filed under the name uncultured bacterium. RNAcentral's name for it is "partial 16S ribosomal RNA". It matches the Rfam family "Bacterial small subunit ribosomal RNA", at positions 524 to 776 of the family's 1533-position model. The record is from RNAcentral.
UACGAAGGGGACUAGCGUUGUUCGGAAUUACUGGGCGUAAAGCGCACGUAGGCGGAUAUGUCAGUCAGGGGUGAAAUCCCGGGGCUCAACCUCGGAACUGCCUUUGAUACAGCAUAUCUCGAGUCCGGAAGAGAUGAGCGGAAUUCCUAGUGUAGAGGUGAAAUUCGUAGAUAUUAGGAAGAACACCGGUGGCGAAGGCGGCUCACUGGUCCGGUACUGACGCUGAGGUGCGAAAGCGUGGGGAGCAAACAGG